GCUCUCACUCUCAAACCCAGUUCUCUGCUUCUCGGUCCCUUUUUGCAUUCUAUCAUCCCUUGCCUUUGCUUGAGAUACACACUCUCUCCUUCUCUCUCGAUCACGAAGAGCGUUAGUCCGGCGGUUUGCUUCAAGGCAACUGAGGAAUCGCAUCCCACUUCCUCGCCAAUGGUGGUUGCAGCUACAAAGUUCCAAUCAUCAUCUUUUCAGGCGUCUUCGUUGUCGAUUGGUAAUGACUCCCUAUCCCUCGAAUUCAAAUCGUGUCUUCUUCCAUCUUUUAAUUCAAUAUUAUGCCUAUCAUCUAUUUCUUGAUCUCUCUCUUUGAUAUAAAUGCCUGUGCGAUUAGGGUUCAUGGGAAAGGAUCCUGGGAACAAAUUUUGUUGGUCUGAUUUGUCAGAUUCAUUUAAAAAUCGGUGGUAGUUCUCAAUAGAAAAUCAGCCUAGGGUUCAUGUCACUCUGCCUCUCUCUUAUCUUGGGAAACAACAAGUUAGGUGGAAAUUUUUACGGCGGCCCUGUCCUUUCUCUGUCCCCUUCUAUCAUGUGGCGUGUUUCACUGUUCAGUCCGAAUUUCCUGUGAUGUAGAUAUUCGUCAUGUAACAGCUC
Arachis ipaensis is the source of this 603-nucleotide non-coding RNA. The record is from RefSeq and is a predicted model, not a curated record. Lineage: Eukaryota; Viridiplantae; Streptophyta; Magnoliopsida; Fabales; Fabaceae.